UGGGGAAUAUUGCACAAUGGGCGAAAGCCUGAUGCAGCGACGCCGCGUGAGGGAUGACGGCCUUCGGGUUGUAAACCUCUUUCAGUAGGGACGAAGCGCAAGUGACGGUACCUGCAGAAGAAGCACCGGCUAACUACGUGCCAGCAGCCGCGGUAAUACGUAGGGUGCGAGCGUUGUCCGGAAUUACUGGGCGUAAAGAGCUCGUAGGCGGUUUGUCACGUCGUCUGUGAAAUCCUAGGGCUUAACCCUGGACGUGCAGGCGAUACGGGCUGACUUGAGUACUACAGGGGAGACUGGAAUUUCUGGUGUAGCGGUGGAUUGCACAGAUAUCAGGAAGAACACCGAUGGCGAAGGCAGGUCUCUGGGUAGUAACUGACGCUGAGGAGCGAAAGCAUGGGUAGCGAACAGG
This 409-nucleotide ribosomal RNA is filed under the name bacterium. RNAcentral describes it as "partial 16S ribosomal RNA". It matches the Rfam family "Bacterial small subunit ribosomal RNA", at positions 355 to 776 of the family's 1533-position model. The record is from RNAcentral.